UACGUAGGUGGCAAGCGUUAUCCGGAAUUAUUGGGCGUAAAGCGCGCGUAGGCGGUUUCUUAAGUCUGAUGUGAAAGCCCCCGGCUCAACCGGGGAGGGUCAUUGGAAACUGGGGAACUUGAGUGCAGAAGAGGAGAGUGGAAUUCCAUGUGUAGCGGUGAAAUGCGCAGAGAUAUGGAGGAACACCAGUGGCGAAGGCGGCUCUCUGGUCUGUAACUGACGCUGAUGUGCGAAAGCGUGGGGAUCAAACAGG
RNAcentral lists this ribosomal RNA (253 nucleotides) under uncultured bacterium. RNAcentral describes it as "partial 16S ribosomal RNA". It matches the Rfam family "Bacterial small subunit ribosomal RNA", at positions 524 to 776 of the family's 1533-position model. The record is from RNAcentral.